RNAcentral lists this long non-coding RNA (1766 nucleotides) under Macaca fascicularis (crab-eating macaque). RNAcentral describes it as "lncRNA (ENSMFAG00000063080.1)". The record is from RNAcentral. Lineage: Eukaryota; Metazoa; Chordata; Mammalia; Primates; Cercopithecidae.
UUUUUUUUUUUUCUGAGACGGAGUCUUGCUCUGUUGCCCAGGCUGGAGUGCAGUGGCCAGAUCUCAGCUCACUGCAAGUUCCGCCUCCCGGGUUUACACCAUUCUCCUGCCUCAGCCUCCCGAGUAAGUGGGACUACAAGCGCCCACCACCUCGCCCGGCUAGUUUUUUUGUAUGUUUUUAGUAGAGACAGGGUUUCACCGUGUUAGCCAGGAUGGUCUCGAUCUCCUGACCUCGUGAUCCGCCCGUCUCAGCCUCCCAAAGUGCUGGGAUUACAGGCGUAAGCCACCGCGCCCGGCGGAGAGAAGAAUUUUUCUACUGGUCACAUGGUUUGUAAGAGACAGUACCAGGAUUUGAUUACAGUCAGCUUAUUGUGGAGCCUCCAUUUGGAAGGGAAUAAAGCAGAUGAUCAAGUUUUGAAAUUACAGAGUUCAGGAUUUCAUGCUACCUAGUCCCUACUUGCAUGUGAUUGUAAACCAAAGAGCUGAAAUUCACUCACAAUUAGCGCAGAACACCUUCACAGGUCUCACUGACCUGCACAGCCUGGAGGUCAGCACUCCUCCCACAGUGGUGUUUGCCUGCUGCACGCUCCUCAUCUGUAAAACGGAGCUGAUGAGGUCAGCCCUCUGCAAGGGCUGUUUGGAGGACGAGAUAACCUGUGUGAAGUGCUUAGAGGCAUGCCUGGCACACAGUAAGUGCUCAAUAAAGGUUUGCUGAUAUCAUAAAUGCCCCAUGCAUAAGUGGUUUACUUCCUAACUCCCCAGCACGAGACAGACCCUGUGUGCCCUCCAUAAAUAAAAGCUAUGGCUGAAAUCAUGGUUUCUAAGCAUCAUUUUUCCCAAUGCCCCAUUGAACAGUUGCACAUCAACCAGAAAAUCCUCCCAGCCUUUGUUUUGCUGUGCUGGGUCCAUAGGAUCCAAGGUCACAUGAUUUCUUCUUUCUUUUCUUUGCCUGUUUCUUUCCUGUAUGGAUCAACAACAACAACAAAAAAGGAUAACAACUGUACCUGGGUGUUGUGUUUUAAUAAUUUUAAUAACGCACAGGAAAUUGGAUGGCUUAGGGACUCUGCGUCAAAAGAGUGAGUCGUCCCUGUCAACAGACCGCGUGGAAGCAUGAGAUUCAAGGGCAGGAAACAGAAGGGCCCAGGGGAUGGAAAUAGAAUAAUGUGAUGGGCUUUAAUAAUCUAAGUUAAAUUAAAACUUGUCAGUGCUUUCUUCAUGCCACAAGUUUCCAGUUAGAGAAAGAACGGGCCCCUCCAAGCAGUGAGUUGAAAAGGAUGAAUUUCAUUCUCUGCAUCCCCAAGACCAACAAGGUGGGCCCUGCCUGUCUCUCCCAUGGUAACUCCAGUCUCCUCUCGUUCCUUGGCCACACUGGUGCUGCUGUUCCCCAAGCACAUCCGCACGGCUGUCCCCACCUCCCAGACUUGAACUUGCUGUUCCUCUGCCGGGACCUUUGCAUGUCUGCCUCAUCCCCCACAUUCAGGGCUUAGCCCUCACAGGAGUCAGAGGGGCUCUCUGCCCCCACUCUGUAUCUAAGAUUCUCUGUCCCCACUCUGCUGUCCCCACCCUCCGCUAGUCCAUGGCCCUGUUGCAUUUUCCUCACAGCCCUCAUCACUAUUCUAUUUUGGAUGUAUUCUCAAUGUGGGCUCCAGAAGGGCAGGGAUCUCAUCUUUCCUGCUUGCCUCUCUCUCCCAGACACCUAGAGCAUACCAGGCACAUAGUAUAGGUACUCCAUACAUCCUUGUUUGGUGAAUGAGCAAAUGGAUGAA